AGUGAACGCUGGCGGUAGGCCUAACACAUGCAAGUCGAACGGCAGCACAGUAAGAGCUUGCUCUUACGGGUGGCGAGUGGCGGACGGGUGAGGAAUACAUCGGAAUCUACUUUUUCGUGGGGGAUAACGUAGGGAAACUUACGCUAAUACCGCAUACGACCUACGGGUGAAAGCAGGGGAUCUUCGGACCUUGCGCGAUUGAAUGAGCCGAUGUCGGAUUAGCUAGUUGGCGGGGUAAAGGCCCACCAAGGCGACGAUCCGUAGCUGGUCUGAGAGGAUGAUCAGCCACACUGGAGCUGAGACACGGUCCAGACUCCUACGGGAGGCAGCAGUGGGGAAUAUUGGACAAUGGGCGCAAGCCUGAACCAGCCAUGCCGGGUGGGUGAAGAAGGCCUUCGGGUUGUAAAGCCCUUUUGUUGGGAAAGAAAAGCAGCAGGUUAAAACCCCGCUGUUCUGACGGUACCCAAAGAAUAAGCACCGGCUAACUUCGG
RNAcentral lists this ribosomal RNA (491 nucleotides) under uncultured bacterium. Its description in RNAcentral is "partial 16S ribosomal RNA". It matches the Rfam family "Bacterial small subunit ribosomal RNA", at positions 29 to 506 of the family's 1533-position model. The record is from RNAcentral.